This is a long non-coding RNA of Raphanus sativus (radish), 2705 nucleotides long. RefSeq lists it as uncharacterized. The transcript has 3 exons. The record is from RefSeq and is a predicted model, not a curated record. NCBI's taxonomy places the organism in Eukaryota, Viridiplantae, Streptophyta, Magnoliopsida, Brassicales, Brassicaceae.
CAUCAACUAUUUUUAGCGACCCUUUAGGUUUCCAUAAACAAUCAGAAGAGCAAUCAUCAUAAUCUCUUCAUCUGCCAUGGCUUCGUCGGCGAUCUCUAAUCUGAUGCUCUCCAUUAACGAGAAGAAGACGAACUCACUCGAUCUUUACCAUACUCUCCGCAACUACAUUGCUUUCACUUGCUCCAAGCACGAGUAACCCUAGAGACGAUCUAGAAACCCUAAAGAGCCUCCGCUCCGAUAGAAUGAGUCAUCGACCCGUCUCCCUCCGCCCGGAAAGACUUUCUCACUCUUAUUACAAACCUCUCUGCCUGGUGCCUCUCCCGAGAAGCAUCACAUCAAAAGCCACUCAGCAGAACAUUAAUUUUGAGAAAGCAGCCGUUCUCUCAAUACCACCAAUGAUUGGUUGCCUUCUUCUCGGUCUAUUAUUAAUAUAGAGAAUUGUUAUAAACCGUGUAAAUCGGUAAUUGAGAUUAGAUUGAUGUAAACCGUGUAAACCGGUAUCUCUAUUACUAUAAAUGUUCGGUUGUAACAGAAAGGUGAAUAACAAAAAAUCAUUUUCCAUUUUGAGCUUCGUCUUCGACUCUAUCGAGCUCAACUGAUAUGGUAUCAGAGCCAGCCGUCGAAAGUGUAUCGGAAUCGAAGAAGAAUCACGCAGAAGCAGCCUCAGGGCAUUGGGAGACAGAUUCCAGGGUGUUUGGGUCGGAUGUUAAACCUAUUCGACUUCAGAACAGUCAGUACUGGGAAGAAGUUUCUCCCUGAUAAACCCUUCUUCGAUGAUGGAUGCCAUAAGAGUCAAUGGAACACCAAUAAAGAAGCUUUUAGAAGAGGAGUUGUCAAAAGAACUGGAAUUGACGGUCGGUGGUGGUUCGACUAAUUUGGUUGCCAAGUUAAUGGGUCUUGAUUCCUUUCAACAUUCUCAAAGGAGUAACAACAGCUCCAAACCUCGGCUGAAGAGGUCGUUAAGUCACGGGGAGUGUAAAGAUAUCUACGAGGUUUGGGAGAAACCAGGUGUGGUGGGGAGUUUGGGGAAGAUGUAGCAAUACAAAUGUUUCGAGUCAUCAUUAGCAUCAAAACCCAAACUUUAACAGAUGCAAAGCAGAGAGGUGAUAAUUUGAUUUAUCUGUAUUUGAUGUCCCUAUCCCAACUGAGUUUUUCAGGUUUCUGCCUCUUUAACACAACUACUACCGGUUUCCGAACUAACCAUUUCCCAACUACGUAGAGACUGCACGACUGUGUGUCUAUGUGUGUUUGGGUGACUUGCCGGACUCCUUCACAAGAAAUUGGAAACGACUCAGUUCCUUUAUCCGAGUCUUCGGGUAAAGAUAUGGUUGGUUAAUAUUUUGAGGCAAGAAAAGGUGCCAGCGGUGCCAUGGUAGAGAAAAAUAAGAUUUCUUCUGGUUUGGACCACCAGGCAAGUAAAGUAAAAUAGAGCUUGAAUGCUAAACAACGGAAGAUUUGAGGGUUGAUUUUGUUGUGUGUUUGUUUUGGAAAAGCAUGUGGUUGUUCUUAGAGUAUCUCUUGAUUCUCUUCACUGUUAAUGUAGAGGCUGUGAAGGAAAAGUGAAGAAACAUCUAUCUAGAAUGCAAGGUCAAUUGAUAUAAUUUGUGUUUUAAAGUAGCUAACUAGAAUCAUGAAUUAGGACAAUCAACAACUAGAGAAUGUGUUCAUUACCUGAAUAUAAUCAUGCUGAUUGCUGAGUUAGGUUGUUAGCAAUGCCGAUCCGAAGUCCGUUGGCACCUAAACCGCAUACAAAAAAUGUUGCCCCUUAGUUACAAUUUUUUGGCACUUAUAAAUUAUUAAAAUAAAUUAGUAAAAUGCUUCUCUUGAUUGACCUAACAAUGGAACUGUUUGAUUUGAUGCCUGAGAGGAAUAUAAUCUCAUGGAACCCGAUUUUGGAUGUAUAUAUGCGUGCUAAUGAAUAAGAUGAGGCACUGGAUUUUUUAACUUUGAUGCGCUAGGAGAUAGAAGAUAUUGAUAAUCUCACACUUGUGUAGAUUCUAAAUGACUGCUCUACUCAGGUGUUUCAGAUGUUCAAAUGGGGAAGCAAGCUCAUGGUUUUAUCUACCGACAUGGAUACGAUAUGCAUUUGAUUAUAUCCAAUCAAUUCUUGAUAAUAUGGCAAAUGCGGUACCUUUUAGAGUGCCAAUGUUUUGUUUGGUCAGAUGAGUGAACUAAAGGAUGAGGUUUCAUGGAAUGCUUUAUUGGCUGGUUUAGCUCGAGUUGACAGGAGUGAACGAACCAGCCUUAUCUUUCUUUGAAGGGAUGCAACUUGAGGCAAAACCUAGCAAGUACACACUAGCUACGCUCUUCGUGGGUUGUGCAAACAUUCCUUCUCUUAAUUUAGGCAAAGUAACCCACAGGUUCCUGAUCAGAAACGGCUAUGAUAUUGAUGUUGUUAUACGGGGUCCUAUGGUUGACAUGCAGAGCUAUCCAAGUAUUCGAAGAGGCAGCUAUACGGGACUUGAUGCUAUGGAAUUCUAUGAUCCGUGGAUGCUGUCGUAAUGGAAGAAGCAAAGAGGUGUUUGAGUUGUUCAUGUUUAUGGAAAGAUGAAGGAGUUAGAAGUUUGUAAAACUUGUUAGAUGCUCUCAUUAUGUUUAUACCUCACUUAAUCUGUUUUGUCUGAUGUCCUUUGAUGAAUAAUAAAACCGGAAGUUUGAUUUUAGCAUCAUAUCCUAAAAGCAUAAGUGGACUCUGUCAAUCAUUG